Molecule: long non-coding RNA, 5278 nt
Filed under: Daucus carota (carrot)
Lineage: Eukaryota; Viridiplantae; Streptophyta; Magnoliopsida; Apiales; Apiaceae
Description: long non-coding RNA (DCAR_LNC004692)
Source: RNAcentral
GAAGAAGCCAUGGAAGAGAGUAGUGGAAGCAAUUCAAUUGGCUUUGAAGAAGCUGAUGAGAAGAUAACUCUGACAGUGAUGGGGAUGGAUGGAUAUUCUUUGAGCUUCACUAUGAAGCGUGACCAAACAUUUCUAGAGCUCAAGACUGCCUACUGCGAGAUCCGAAAACUCGGUGAUCACAAGGGAACAGCUUUCCUUUGUAAUGGUAGGAGGCUUUGCUGCACCAAUACUCCCAACGACUUUCGGCUCCAGAAUGGCGAUGUUAUUUAUGCUAUGCUUCACCAGAGAGGCUGCUAAAUUGUUUCAACCACUUAAUUACUACAUAUAUAUUUAAGGGGUUAAUUAUCAAACUCAUCACUGAAGUGGACAAAUGGUAUCAACUUCAUCACUGAUCUCCACGGGGUCUCAAGUUGUCUACCAAACUCGCUUCAUGGUAUCAAACUCAUCACUGCCGUUAAAAAAAGUAACGGAGGUUAGACAGAGUGCCAGAUUGGCGGUUGACGUGGCACAUUAAUAAAAAAGACUGAAGAAAAACAAAUGAAGAAAAUAAAAAAAAAUAGAAAAUAGAAAUGCCACAUAAUUUGAAGUUUAUAUGGAAAUAAAGUAUGCAAACUUUUUGUUAAAUUAAUUUUAGGAUAUAGUUAUCUAAAUAAAUGUAUGGAACUAAAUUUUAAUAUAUAAUUAACUAAACAAUUAAGAUUAACUUUUAUGUUUUUUUAUUAGAUUAUAAUUAUUUUUGAAUAAUAUUGAAAUGUUUUCUCUUUUAAUAAAUUUUAUUUAUGUGAAUAUUAUUGUUGGCAAAAAAAAUAUUUUUAAACAUUAUGUGUUGUUUUUGAAGAUUUGGACAAUGUGUGCUGUUUCAUAUGUUAAAUAUAUAUAUAUUUAUUUCCAUGUUUUUGUUUGGUAUAAGAAACUCCAAAAGAAAUAGAAGUGUUAAAAAUCGAAAUGAAUUUCUUUAUGUUCUAUCUCUAGAUUUUUCUCAAAAUUUUAAAAUGUUGGUGAUAUAAAAAAAUUUAAAAAAUAUUUUUUACCAACAAUAAUAUUCACAUAAAUAAAAUUUAUUAAAAGAGAAAACAAUUCAAUAUUAUUCAAAAAUAAUUAUAAUCUAAUGAAAAACAUAAAAGUUAAUCUUAAUUGUUUAGUUAAUUAUAUAUUAAAAUUUAGUUUCAUACAUUUAUUUAGAUAAUUAUAUCCUAAAAUUAAUUUAAUAAAAAGUUUGCAUACUUUAUUUCCAUAUAAACUUCAAAUUAUGUGGUAUUUCUAUUUUCUAUUUUUUUUUUAUUUUCUUUCAUUUGUUUUUCUUCAGUCUUUUUUUAUUAAUGUGCCACGUCAACCGUCAAUCUGUCACUCCGUCUAACCUCCGUUACUUUUUUUAACGGCAGUGAUGAGUUUGAUACCAUUAAGGGAGUUUAGUGAGCAACUUGAGACCCCGUGCAGAUCAGUGAUGAAGUUGAUACCAUUUGUCCACUUCAGUGAUGAGUUUGAUAAUUAACCCUAUAUUUAAGCAGCAAGCUUAUGUAUUUAUGCUAUGCUUCACCAGAGAGGCUGCUAAAUUGUUUCAACCCCUUAAUUACUACAUAUAUAUUUAAGCAGCAAGCUUAUGUAUUUACGCUAAGUAGCUAUUUGGUUCAGUAAAAAGCACAUGUGCAGUACAAAUUGAACAGAUCGUCAUCGAGAAUCGAUUACGCAAGCUCUGAUAUCAUGUUAAUCGCAGCUUAUUACUUGUAAAUCUGUAACUACCGUACUCGAAUUCGUGCUGCAACUAUGUAAUAUCCAUUACUAGAAAUCAAAGAUAAACUGUACAAGCUCUUUCUUCUACCACACCAGUAAGCUAGAACAACUAUGAAUACUAGAGUGUUUGUGUUUGCUGAAUACAAGAACAGAUUGCUAGACAAGUGAAAAUUACAACUACUACUUGCUUCACUACUAAGCAAGUAUAUAUAGACAGAUGGUGGAAAGAAUGGAGUGUUGAGUAAGCUAGUCAGUUAUUCAGUUACAAGCUGAUGUGUCACAUUGCCAGCUGUCUGCUUAGCUGGUACUGUGACCACAAUUUCUUGAAUUCCAAUAUAUAAGUUGCUUAACUAUAUCUAGAUGUGAUCAAGUAAAGAAACAACAAAGAAACCAUUUGAGGCAAUUUGUUAUUUUACGAUAUUUUUAGACCAUUAUUGCCUAAUUUACUACUCUCAAGUACAAAAGUUUUAAAUUCUCUGUUUUGGAACAACUUUUAAUCCUUGUAUAUACUCUUUAACUACAUCUAGAAGUGAUCAAGUCAAGAAAUACUAGACGAAUUCUCAAUUUUAGUGUUCUUUUUGAUCAUUCUUGUCUAGUUUAGCAACUUAAAAGUGCCAAUCUCAAAACCCUCCGUUCUUCCUCCAAUUUGAUUUCUAUUACAUGUUCCUUAUCUAUAUAUAGAUGUGAUCAUGUCGACAAAAAAAAAAUCAUAGUUCUAGUCGAUUUGUGUUUUUCUAAUAUGGUUUUUUAGCUUUAACGCCUAAAAUUGUCACUUACAAGUACAAAUUUUUAAAAUUUCUGCUUCUAAACUAAUCAAAAUGCAUGUAUGGGUUCCUUAUCUAUAUUUAGAUGUGCUCACAUUAAAAAACAAAAAAACCUAGUUCUAGCCAAUUUGUUAUUUUUUAGUGUUUUUUUUAGCAUUUUUGCCUAAUUUUUCUACUUACAAGUACAAAUAUUUAAAAUUUAUGUAUGUGCACAGAUUUGAAUAAUUGUACAUGCUCCUUAAUUGUAUCUAGAGCUAAACAAGCCAAAAAAAAUUAUAAUAAUAAAUAGUUAUCGGCUAUUUGAUCCUUUUUAGUUUGUUUUUCGAGCAUUUUGCCUAAAUUAGCCACUAAGAGCAUCUCCAACGCAGGUCACCUGUUAGGUUCAAAUCUACGUGGCAACUGAUUUAUCUAAUAUGUAAAAAAAACACCACUCCAACGUAGAGACCUGUUAGCAAUACAUAUGUUGAUUGAGUGUAUGUCAUCUAUAUCAUAUCCACGUCAUUUUCUUUUAAAAUAUAACUUUAAAAAAAUUUAACUCUGCUCCAACUUAGGUGUCUGUAUUAUAUUAUAUAUGUAUUAUACUAUAAUUCUAUUUUAUAUAUUUGUAUAACUUUUUAAUUUUGUAAUUUAAUUUUAUGUAUUGUCAAGUGUAAAAAUAUUUAUAAUAAAUAAAUAAUACAAUAAAACUAAUAUAAUAACUUAUAUAGUUAUUUAACGUCAAUUAAUGUGUAUUUAUAACAAAAAAAAUUAGUAAAUGUUUUACAUAAUAUAAUUAAUUUUUGUUAAUUAGUUUUUUCAAGUUUUUAUUAUUAGAAUAGUAUCGGUAUAUAUGUUUUUAUUAAUUAGGAUUUAAUAAAUCUUCUAAGUAGUGGAGGCUCACUAGUAAGUCGGCCUAGCAGAAUGAUGAGCACAAAGGACUCGGUUCAAAAUAACUAAUAAGUCGGCCUAGCAGAAUGAUGAGCACAAAGGACUCGGUUCAAAAUAACUAAUAAGUCGGCCUAGCAGAAUGAUGAGCACAAAGGACUCGGUUCAAAAUAACUAAUAAGUCGGCCUAGCAGAAUGAUGAGCACAAAGGACUCGGUUCAAAAUAACUAAGCGUCCAAUGUAUAUUUGGUCUAGUUCUGAUCUUGGGCUGGAGAGAUAAUCUUCAUAAAUUAGGAUGGAUGGUGCAACUUUGGUGAUCCAUAUCUGUGGGCAUGUGGGCCUGCCGAAGCUCAUGGUGGUUUUCGUAUUUGUGUUGGCUACGGUCUAAUUAUUCUCGUACAUCUACACCAACAAAAUUCAACCUAAAUAAAAACGAGUAGUGCUAAUUAAAGCUUUGGGAACGGAGUUGUUAAGAGAGUCUAAAGAUAUCAAUGUGCAUGUUGUGAGAUACGAUGCAUUCAUAAGAUAUCAAACAGACACGACCCUUGUCCCUUCAUAUUCAAAGAACUGUAUACAGGAGAGUGAAGUAGUCAUUGAGAGUGUAUAAAUACCGACACAAAAUUGACAAUGCGUCUAAACUGAAGCGAAUCAGAGAGAAGCAGCCAUGGAAGAGAGUAGUGGAAGCAGUUCAAUUUCCUUUGAAGAAGCUGAUGACAAGAUUACUCUGACGGUGAUGGGGAUGGAUGGAUAUUCAUUGAGAUUCACAAUGAAGCGUGACCAAACAUUUCUAGAGCUCAAGACUGCCUACUGCGAGAUCCGAAGACUCGGUGAUCACAAGGGAACGGCUUUCAUUUGUAAAGGCAGGAGGCUCUGCUGCACCAAUACUCCCAACGACUUCCAACUCCAGAAUGGCGAUGUUAUUGACGCUGUGCUUCACCAAAGAGGCUGCUAAUUAAAAUGCGUGUCGAGUCUCCCGUCUCCUGUGUAAAGAAAUGAACGAGACGGAAAGUAUUAUGUAUUCACUGGAGUUAGUUUGUUAUGCAUAUUUUGAACUUAUGAAUAUAUUUAUUAUCUAAUUUGGAUGUUAUUGAAUGCGUUAUCAUAGGCAAAAAUGGUCGAUCCUGAAGUUAUAUCGAAUCUGUUAUUUAUGCGUUGCUUCACCAAUGAGGCUGCUAAAUUGUUGCAAUCCCUUAAUUACUACAGAUUUCCACUAGUAUAUUAGACAGCAACUUUAUGUAUUCAUGCCAAUUAAGCUAUUUGGUUCAAGAAAUUCCAUGUCUUUUCAAUGAAUUCUCCAUCUUUUUUAUCAAUAUCUAUCAAUUGCUCUGAUUAUUAUAUAGCAUGGUUGAUUUGUAUAUGCUUGUGUUAGUUUGGUGGAGAUUAAUUAGGUUCCUGCUACUAUGAUCAUGUUUUGCAUAUGUGAUAAAUGGCUUGUGUGUUGCUUGUGGCUUCAGAGUUUAUAAAGACAUCCAUUAUAGUACAACCUGGUGGCUGCACAUUGGUUUAACUCUCAUAACUUUACAGGGAUAUAUAACAACUGGACUCUCCGAAUUUGAUAAGUUGACUACUCUGAUUCAGAUGAGGUUUGAAUCAAGCAACGAAUAUAUCCCGGAAAUGUUAAUGUGGUCGUUACAAAUUACAAUACUGUAUUUGUUUAUCUACAUUAUGUGCGAUGUAUGUUUUAACUCUCCAAAUUACUGAACCUACCUAAUUAAAUGGACAUUAACUUAUGAGCCUGUUAUCCGUCCCAGAAGUUAACUUCAAAUUUGAAGUUAAAAUGUAAAGAGAAGGUAUAAAAAAAAUGAAUAUCACAACUGUAGGAAGAGAUAAACUGAACUUUACCCCAAAAAGCAGAGAGAUUCUGAUUUUCUGAUACAUUGUGUGGGUAAUCUUCUUACUUUAUCCAUCAAGUAUGCUAG